GAAUUCACUAGUGAUUCAGGCCUAACACAUGCAAGUCGAGCGGGGUUUUCGGACCUAGCGACGGACGGGUGAGUAAUGCGUAGGAAGCUGCCCGAUAGAGGGGGAUACCAGUUGGAAACGACUGUUAAUACCGCAUAAUGUCUACGGACCAAAGUGUGGGACCUUCGGGCCACAUGCUAUCGGAUGCGCCUACGUGGGAUUAGCUAGUUGGUGAGGUAAUGGCUCACCAAGGCGACGAUCUCUAGCUGGUUUGAGAGGAUGAUCAGCCACACUGGAACUGAGACACGGUCCAGACUCCUACGGGAGGCAGCAGUGGGGAAUAUUGGACAAUGGGCGCAAGCCUGAUCCU
This 349-nucleotide ribosomal RNA is filed under the name uncultured bacterium. RNAcentral's name for it is "bacterial SSU rRNA". It matches the Rfam family "Bacterial small subunit ribosomal RNA", at positions 43 to 390 of the family's 1533-position model. The record is from RNAcentral.